GACGAACGCUGGCGGCGUGCUUAACACAUGCAAGUCGAACGGAAAGGCCCUGCUUUUGUGGGGUGCUCGAGUGGCGAACGGGUGAGUAACACGUGAGUAACCUGCCCUUGACUUUGGGAUAACUUCAGGAAACUGGGGCUAAUACCGGAUAGGAGCUCCUGCUGCAUGGUGGGGGUUGGAAAGUUUCGGCGGUUGGGGAUGGACUCGCGGCUUAUCAGCUUGUUGGUGGGGAAGUGGCUUACCAAGGCUUUGACGGGUAGCCGGCCUGAGAGGGUGACCGGGCACAUUGGGACUGAGAUACGGCCCAGACUCCUACGGGAGGCAGCAGUGGGGAAUAUUGCACAAUGGGCGGAAGCCUGAUGCAGCAACGCCGCGUGCGGGAUGACGGCCUUCGGGUUGUAAACCGCUUUCGCCUGUGACGAAGCGUGAGUGACGGUAAUGGGUAAAGAAGCACCGGCUAACUACGUG
RNAcentral lists this ribosomal RNA (468 nucleotides) under uncultured bacterium. RNAcentral's name for it is "partial 16S ribosomal RNA". It matches the Rfam family "Bacterial small subunit ribosomal RNA", at positions 28 to 507 of the family's 1533-position model. The record is from RNAcentral.